RNAcentral lists this ribosomal RNA (407 nucleotides) under uncultured bacterium. Its description in RNAcentral is "partial 16S ribosomal RNA". It matches the Rfam family "Bacterial small subunit ribosomal RNA", at positions 30 to 526 of the family's 1533-position model. The record is from RNAcentral.
AUUGAACGCUAGCGGGAUGCCUUACACAUGCAAGUCGAACGGAGUGGCAAACGGGUGAGUAAUGUAUCGGAACGUGCCCAGUCGCGGGGGAUCACUACGCGAAACCGACGCUAAUACCGCAUACUUUUAGAACGGCCGAGAUCGGAUUAGCUAGUUGGUGGGGGAACGGCUCACCAAGGCGACGGUCCGUAGCUGGUUUGAGCGGACGACCAGCCAGACUGGGACUGAGACACGGCCCAGACUCCUACGGUAGGCAGCAGUGGGGAAUUUUGGACAAUGGGUGAAACCCUGAUCCAGCCAUCCCGCGUGUGCGAUGAAGGCCUUCGGGUUGUAAAGCACUUUUGGCAGGAAAGCGGUACCUGCAGAAUAAGCACCGGCUAACUACGUGCCAGCAGCCGCGGUAAUAC